GAUGAACGCUGGCGGCGUGCUUAACACAUGCAAGUCGAGCGAAGCGCUUACGACAGAACCUUCGGGGAAAGAUGUAAGGGACUGAGCGGCGGACGGGUGAGUAACGCGUGGGUAACCUGCCUCAUACAGGGGGAUAACAGUUGGAAACGGCUGCUAAUACCGCAUAAGCGCACAGUAUCGCAUGAUACAGUGUGAAAAACUCCGGUGGUAUGAGAUGGACCCGCGUCUGAUUAGCUAGUUGGAGGGGUAACGGCCCACCAAGGCGACGAUCAGUAGCCGGCCUGAGAGGGUGAACGGCCACAUUGGGACUGAGACACGGCCCAGACUCCUACGGGAGGCAGCAGUGGGGAAUAUUGCACAAUGGGGGAAACCCUGAUGCAGCGACGCCGCGUGGAGGAAGAAGGUUUUCGGAUUGUAAACUCCUGUCGUUAGGGACGAUAAUGACGGUACCUAACAAGAAAGCACCGGCUAACUACGUGCCAGCAGCCGCGGUAAAACGUAGGGUGCAAGCGUUGUCCGGAAAUACUGGGUGUAAAGGGAGCGCAGGCGGACCGGCAAGUUGGAAGUGAAAACUAUGGGCUCAACCCAUAAAUUGCUUUCAAAACUGCUGGCCUUGAGUAGUGCAGAGGUAGGUGGAAUUCCCGGUGUAGCGGUGGAAUGCGUAGAUAUCGGGAGGAACACCAGUGGCGAAGGCGACCUACUGGGCACCAACUGACGCUGAGGCUCGAAAGCAUGGGUAGCAAACAGGAUUAGAUACCCUGGUAGUCCAUGCCGUAAACGAUGAUUACUAGGUGUUGGAGGAUUGACCCCCUCAGUGCCGCAGUUAACACAAUAAGUAAUCCACCUGGGGAGUACGACCGCAAGGUUGAAACUCAAAGGAAUUGACGGGGGCCCGCACAAGCAGUGGAGUAUGUGGUUUAAUUUGAAGCAACGCGAAGAACCUUACCAGGUCUUGACAUCCGAUGCAUAGCACAGAGAUGUGUGAAGUCCUUCGGGACAUCGAGACAGGUGGUGCAUGGUUGUCGUCAGCUCGUGUCGUGAGAUGUUGGGUUAAGUCCCGCAACGAGCGCAACCCUUAUUGCCAGUUACUACGCAAGAGGACUCUGGCGAGACUGCCGUUGACAAAACGGAGGAAGGUGGGGAGGACGUCAAAUCAUCAUGCCCUUUAUGACCUGGGCUACACACGUACUACAAUGGCGUUUAACAAAGAGAAGCAAGACCGCGAGGUGGAGCAAGACUCAAAAACAACGUCUCAGUUCAGAUUGCAGGCUGCAACUCGCCUGCAUGAAGUCGGAAUUGCUAGUAAUCGCGGAUCAGCAUGCCGCGGUGAAUACGUUCCCGGGCCUUGUACA
Molecule: ribosomal RNA, 1352 nt
Filed under: uncultured bacterium
Lineage: Bacteria
Description: bacterial SSU rRNA
Rfam family: Bacterial small subunit ribosomal RNA
Source: RNAcentral